UGCAGUUAUAAACACAUAAUGAGGGCUUAUUAUGUAUUUCUUGCAAUAAAAAAAGAAAAAUGCUACUAGUUUAUUAAAUAUUCAUGACUGCUAUUGCACGGCUCAUGUCCACACUUCUGUACAAUAGGGGGCAGUAAUGCACCAUAACGUUGGAUGCCAACUGCCUAUAAACCCCACUGAAGAAGAAAAAGCUACUCAUGUAAUGCAUGCUGGAAAGCAGACAAAAACUAAUGAUUUGCAAGAGAUCUAAACACGAUUUAUAAGCUACUGAACAACAAGUCCAAGAAAGCAUUGCUAACCGCGUUUGCACUUUGAACAGAUUUCUCGACAAUAAUAAUGGAAGAUGUGACUGGGGCUCAGCUCAUUGCAGAGGCACUAAAAGCUCAGUCCAGGUGCAUGUCUGGUUGUGUCUGGACCGGGACUCAUCCAUUCACUUGGUGGAAUGGCCAACGCUAACAUGAACUGCUGGCCUGUGAUUGUUAUUGGAGGCUCCUCUGAUCAAAACCAAGAGACCACUGGGGCGUUUCAAGAGUUUCCACAGGUGGAGGCAUGCAGAUUGUACAGUAAGUUCUCUGCUAGGUCUAGCAGUCUGGAUAUGAUCUCCUCAGUGGUAGAGAAGCUUAGCAAGGUACCUUAACUGCUUCAUAAGAGCACAGCACAGCCUUAAUUGAUCUGAAUGGAAGGGUGUUUGGUCUGUCUAAGGCAGCACGCACUAGCAUGUAUGGACGUCCAGGUGCUGUAUACGUAGACAUAUCUGGUGACAUGGUCAAUGCUAAAUUGGACAGGAGCAGAGCCAGAGAGGUGCCCUGUAGUCCACCUCCUCCUGUGAGUAUGGCUGACCAUAUGGCGAUCACAGAAGCACUGGCGGUCCUGAAAGGAGCCAAACGGCCUUUACUCAUCAUUGGCAAAGGUGCAGCCCAUUGAAGAGCAGAGGGGGCUCUGAAGGAGCUGGUGGAGGAG
Coregonus clupeaformis (lake whitefish) is the source of this 960-nucleotide RNA transcript. It is a transcript of the gene named 2-hydroxyacyl-CoA lyase 1-like, with no coding region annotated. The transcript is spliced from 7 exons. NCBI's taxonomy places the organism in Eukaryota, Metazoa, Chordata, Actinopteri, Salmoniformes, Salmonidae. The record is from RefSeq and is a predicted model, not a curated record.